AAUAGAUACCCAGGUAGUCCACGCCGUAAACGAUGAGUGCUAGGUGUUAGGGGGGUCCAACCCCUUAGUGCUGAAGUUAACACAUUAAGCACUCCGCCUGGGGAGUACGACCGCAAGGUUGAAACUCAAAGGAAUUGACGGGGGCCCGCACAAGCAGUGGAGCAUGUGGUUUAAUUCGAAGCAACGCGAAGAACCUUACCAGGUCUUGACAUCCUCUGACAACCCUAGAGAUAGGGCGUUCCCCUUCGGGGGACAGAGUGACAGGUGGUGCAUGGUUGUCGUCAGCUCGUGUCGUGAGAUGUUGGGUUAAGUCCCGCAACGAGCGCAACCCUUGAUGUUAGUUGCCAGCAUUCAGUUGGGCACUCUAACGUGACUGCCGGUGACAAACCGGAGGAAGGUGGGGAUGACGUCAAAUCAUCAUGCCCCUUAUGACCUGGGCUACACACGUGCUACAAUGGGCGGUACAAAGGGCAGCGAAACCACGAGGUGAAGCGAAUCCCAUAAAGCCGCUCUCAGUUCGGAUUGCAGGCUGC
Molecule: ribosomal RNA, 533 nt
Filed under: uncultured bacterium
Lineage: Bacteria
Description: bacterial SSU rRNA
Rfam family: Bacterial small subunit ribosomal RNA
Source: RNAcentral